Long non-coding RNA from Cyprinus carpio (common carp), 730 nucleotides. The record is from Ensembl. NCBI's taxonomy places the organism in Eukaryota, Metazoa, Chordata, Actinopteri, Cypriniformes, Cyprinidae.
GAUUAAGCAAUGCUGAAUGCUUUGUAACUUAUGUGACGCGACUCCCAGGAGCUCUGAGCUGGAGCUAUAUAAGAGAUACUAAAGGACAGAAGCAAGUGCUUGUGUGUGCGUUCAAAUGGCUAAGCUCUAUAGUUAGCGCUAUGCCAAGCAGAUAGAGGCCUGACAGAGGGAGAUAAGCAGUCUGAGUGUGAAUGCUCUGGUCAGGAUGGGUCGACUUCGCUCCACCUUUUGUUGAUUUUCACACUGCUCCAGUGACCUCAGAGGUGAGUAUGUUUACUGCGGCCCAGUCUCAAUCUCCCUCAAACAGACUCACCGGUGACCUUCAGCAACUCUGAGGCAGUCCAAACCUCUUGAACCUAUUCUGCCUUGUCCUUUGUGUGCUCUGGUCAGAAGUCUACAGUUGUGCUCUCUUUUCGAAGUAUUUUACAAUCAAAAUGAACACUGUUGUACAUCUGUAAUCAAGCAGACUCUGUUGUAUCUUUCAUUCCCUGGACAUCCUGGACAUCCUGAACUUCCGAGGAACCGUUUAGGAUUAGAACACAAAACUUUUACCCAGGCAACCUUUCACCGGUGGAAGAGUGAAAAAUGCUUGUUAAUUGGAGAACACUGGCUUAAUGAAGCAAGCUGGCAUUUGAGCUUGUGAAUUUCAUGUCUGAUGGUGGAAACAAAAACUAGGCAGAGUGAAAAAAGUCUAUAGGCUUUUCAAUAAAAGAAGGAUGUUUCGUCUUCA